RNAcentral lists this long non-coding RNA (246 nucleotides) under Chinchilla lanigera (long-tailed chinchilla). RNAcentral describes it as "lncRNA (ENSCLAG00000027272.1)". Lineage: Eukaryota; Metazoa; Chordata; Mammalia; Rodentia; Chinchillidae. The record is from RNAcentral.
AAACAUUGUUGUGCUACAUGUCUGAAUUCUCCCAUCAAAGACACAAUGAAUCAAGGCACUGUUAAAUCCUGGCUUCCUGGUGACAGUGCCCUUGGCUCCACCCUGCAAACCAGAAGUGAGCCUCAUGAUGUCCACAGUCUGCAGCAGGCACUGUGUCUGUCCUGAGGAGGACAAACCCUAGGUGAGAUCUGCGUGCCUAAAAGGCCUGCAUUCAAUAUGUGCUGCCAGCUACUGCAGAGGAAGUCG